UACGGAGGGUGCUAGCGUUGUUCGGAAUUACUGGGCGUAAAGGGCGCGUAGGCGGCCGUUUGCGUCGGAUGUGAAAGCCCGGGGCUCAACCUCGGAACGGCAUUCGAUACGGGACGGCUGGAGACCGGGAGAGGAGAGUGGAAUAGCCAGUGUAGAGGUGAAAUUCGUAGAUAUUCGGGAGAACACCAGUGGCGAAGGCGGCUCACUGGACUGGUAUUGACGCUGAGGUGCGAAAGCGUGGGGAGCAAACAGG
Molecule: ribosomal RNA, 253 nt
Filed under: uncultured bacterium
Lineage: Bacteria
Description: partial 16S ribosomal RNA
Rfam family: Bacterial small subunit ribosomal RNA
Source: RNAcentral